GGUAUACAUCUGAUGAAGUGAGCUGUAGCUCACGAAAGCUCAUGCUCAAAUAAAUUGGUUAGUCUCUAAGGUGCCACAAGUACUCCUUUUCUUUUUGCGAAUACAGACUAACACGGCUGUUCCUCUGAAAGAUAUUUUAGUGCUGUAGAAUGGGACCUUCAUCAUAUGUCACUCAAACUGAAGUCCGUCAUAUCAAAGUUUUUCCCCAGUACACAUUAUAGAUACGUAUGCAAGGGGGCAGUCAUCCUGUUCCCUAUUGUGAUUUGGUGGUUUGUAGAAGACACCAACUGAUAUCCCAUCUUGUGGUUUAUCUGUUAGGACAGAGAUCCAUAAGCAUUCAAGAUCAUUUUCUUCUGACUUAUCCGUGACUCGGAAACAGAAUACUUUCUUUGCUUUUUUAAAAUGCUGCUUCACAUUGAGCAAAAAUCUUCAUUGAAUCUUCAUUCAGUCCCUACGUAAAAGGAUAAAUGGACACAAAUCAGAUAUUAGGAAUGGCAAUAUAUAAAAACCUGUAGAAGAACACUUCAACGUCUCUGGACACGCAAUAGCAGAAGUAAAGGUAGCCAUCCUGCAGCAAAAAAACCCCUUCAGGACCAGAUUUCAACGAGAAACUGCUGAGCUUCAGUUCAUUUGCAAAUUUGACACUAUCAGAUCAGGAUUAAACAAAGACUGUGAAUGGCUCGCCAACUACAAAAGCAGUUUCUCCUCCCUUGGUGUUCACACCUCAACUGCUAGAAGAGGGCCUCAUCCUCCCUGAUAGAACUAACCUCGUUAUCCCUAGCCUGAUUCUUGCUUGCAUAUUUAUACCUGCCUCUGGAAAUUUCCACUACAUGCAUCCGAUGAAGCGGGUAUUCACCCACGAAAGCUUAUGAUCCAAUACGUCUGUUAGUCUAUAAGGUGCCAUAGGACUCUUUGCCGCUUCAUUGAACUGGUCACAAAGAUGACCAGGUCUUUCUCUGAAUUGAUACACUUAAUUAGGAAUCCAGUAAGAUAUGUGAAUAGUUCAAAUUAUUAUUAUACACAAUGUGCAUUACUUUGUAUUUGUGAACAUUUAAUUUCAUCUCACGUUAUUUCCUAUUCACUUUGUUUGGUUCACCUCUUUUCCAGCUCAUUAAUAAAUAUAUAUUAAUAAAUAGAAAACAAUGCUGGUCCUAUUACAGAAUUUUGUGGCACCUCCAUUAAGCUUUUGCUAUCAUGAAAAUUGCCCAUUUUGACCAUUUAUUCCUACCUUAUGUUUUUUGCAGCUACUUUGUUACCCACAACAGUACUUUGCCCAAUGACUUUAGUGUCUUUAGUAGCCUCACGUGAGGAGUUUUGUCAAAGGCCUUCCAAAUAUAUUGUCAACUGCCUUUCCUUCCUUUACCCACUCUUUUACUGUGACCCAUUCAAAAUAUUCUAAUUAGUGUGCCAUGGUUUCCUUUUGCUGGUCACUCUUGGUGUUUUAUAACCAUUUUAAAUUAUUGUUUCAAAUAAUUUACCAAAUACAAAUCAAUAAUCUGUAGUCAUCUAAUUCCCCAGAUUACCCAAGCACUUCUUUUAAAUCUAUCGGUGCACUCUUUGGUACCGUACUAUCCUUUGCUAUAGUAGCAGAUUUUAAUGAGUGCAGACUUUUCUAGCAGCUCAGCCAUUUCAUUUUUACGUUUCUUCAGAACUUCUGGGUGUGUACUGCCAGGGCCUUGCUGUAUGUUGCUUUUUAAUUGAGUUGUUUUGUCACUACUUCUGAUACCUCAGUCUUUGAAUAGUGCUGCAUCAUUGUCACUAGUAUGGAGUACAAAUCAUCAAUCUGUUGGGCUAAUCUGAAUUGAAGGAUAUUACAAGUGUUGUAAUAUCACCCACUACAGUAGAGAAAAGUCAAGAUGACUUUUGUGGCUGCCACAGUUUUUUGCUUGUAAUGUCUGUUAUCUAGAACUUUUUCCAUAAUAAAUUUGAUUUUUAAAGUGA
Molecule: non-coding RNA, 1941 nt
Organism: Caretta caretta (loggerhead turtle)
Lineage: Eukaryota; Metazoa; Chordata; Testudines; Cheloniidae
Source: RefSeq, a predicted model, not a curated record